RNAcentral lists this transfer RNA (74 nucleotides) under Glaciimonas sp. RNAcentral's name for it is "tRNA-Arg". It matches the Rfam family "tRNA". From Rfam's summary of the family: Transfer RNA (tRNA) molecules are approximately 80 nucleotides in length. Their secondary structure includes four short double-helical elements and three loops (D, anti-codon, and T loops). The record is from RNAcentral. Lineage: Bacteria; Pseudomonadati; Pseudomonadota; Betaproteobacteria; Burkholderiales; Oxalobacteraceae.
GCGAGUGUAGUUCAAUGGUAGAACGAAAGCUUCCUAAGCUCUAGACGAGGGUUCAAUCUCCUUCACCCGCUCCA